Non-coding RNA from Bemisia tabaci, 1764 nucleotides. The record is from RefSeq and is a predicted model, not a curated record. Lineage: Eukaryota; Metazoa; Arthropoda; Insecta; Hemiptera; Aleyrodidae.
UACCACUUUUCGGGCAUAACUCACGGCGGGGCGGCGACGCGCGCGGCUCCUAUACGAAUCUCGCGAUUCGACCGCUCCGCCGCUGCGGCGCCCGUAUCGCAACUUGGUUCCGCCACGGCUCCGUUCUGCUGUUUAUUUGGACGGCCCAUCAUCUGAACUCCUAUGCCAGUUCAGUAUGUGGACCGCUCAUUCGUAUUUUCUACCUUCGCCUUCUUUUCAUUAACGGUCCAUAUUCUGAACUGGCUUGGAGGUCUACUUUGUGGACCGCUAAUUUCCUCGGUUAUUUCGCGUUAAAUUAGUGAGUACCCACCCGGGACCCCAUUCCCUCUCCCUUCUCCCGAAUGUGUGCAAGGGGGGUGGAGAUAUAGGUUAUGUUUGGGAACGGUCCAUAUACUAAACUAUUUCCGGGAAACAGUGCUUGGUGACUGGUCGUUCUGGAAACGAGUGUUGCAAGAAGUUGGAGUCAAAUUCAGAGAUGGAGGAGAUGGCAGCCAGUAAUGGAAAGGAGGGAUGUCUACAGGCCAUUAGCAGAGGGCCAAAGACGAAAUUUAGUAGUUUUCUUUGCUUCAUCGACAUGACGUGAAGUCAUCUUGUAUUGUUCUGAGCCACUAACGUUACACAGGUUUCAUUGUACACUUGUGAAGCUUGUUAAGGCAGCAGACCCCACUAUGCAGUAAGGAUGACCACUUUUAGGCAACAAUUUUUCUUCAAUAGAAAUCAUCAAAACACAAGCAUAGUAUUUCACCAAGUCUUGGUGUUAGAACAAAUUUUGAUUUGAACUUCUUGUCACACGUCAACGUUUGACAAUGCAAGGAAGCAAUUUCUGGCACUGUGGAUGUCACCAAACUGUUGAAGCCAACCAGACACAACAGCAAGCUGCAUUUAAUCCAGUAAAGUUGCCUUCCUCAUUUUUACAUCGAAACUAAAUAUGAAAGAAGAAGAGUGAUGAGUCAGCCAGAAUUCCUGUCUAUCAAUUUACUCUAUUAUGUUGGUAGGAUCAAACACAAAACUACUACUCUGACAUCAUUCCGACUUACAGCGUGUUUGAAGAAGUUACCACAUUAAUCUACAUUUUCUCCCAACAAUGAAACAAGGUGAAAUUUUUAGUAUUAAGAUUGCUUUUUCCUAAAACAGCUCAUAUUGUCAUGGAAUCUUUCAGGAAAUGCCAUUGUGAAUAUUGAAAAAUUUAAGCUGAGCAAUCAAAAAUGUCAUUAGAAAAUGUAAAAUAAACAUCUAAAGAAUCAAAUAGAAUAUAAAUUGAGAAAAAUAGGUGCAAUGAAUCAAGAAACUACUACCACACAACUUGCUUCCUUCAAUUUCAAAUUAAGUUGAAAUCGGAAACGGGAAUAAAGGAAGAAGAGUCAGAAUAACAAUCAAAAGGUGUAUUGAGCAAAAUACACAUAAAAUAUCUAAAAAAUUUCAAAAGGGCAGAAGCACUUUCCUCAAGGAAUCCGCAGCAGAGUGUAGGGUUCCGGGAGUUUUGCACUACGGAGAUAGAGGAAUGAUAUACAAGUCGAAAUAUUGGUGAUGAAGGAAAUAUAAUGUCCGAAUCGUCCCGGAAAAAUAACAUACAGUGUUGAUAAUCAUUAGAGCAAGAGAUAUGAAUCGAAAGAAUACAAAUUAAUUAGCUUAUAGAAUUGUAGUUGUCUUAGAGGACUUGGAAGGAAAUAUUUGUCGGUCUAAAAUUUAUCCCAAAAAAAAGGAAUUGUGAGAGUCGCUAAGGACUGGAGGAGCUCAUCUGUCCGCUUGACUUGAAAUUGGAAA